AGCAGUCGCCACGGGAAUACAGAGGGUGCGAGCGUUAAUCGGAUUUACUGGGCGUAAAGCGUGCGUAGGCGGCUUCUUAAGUCGGAUGUGAAAUCCCUGAGCUUAACUUAGGAAUUGCAUUCGAUACUGGGAAGCUAGAGUAUGGGAGAGGAUGGUAGAAUUCCAGGUGUAGCGGUGAAAUGCGUAGAGAUCUGGAGGAAUACCGAUGGCGAAGGCAGCCAUCUGGCCUAAUACUGACGCUGAGGUACGAAAGCAUGGGGAGCAAACAGGAUUAGAUACCCGUGUAGUCCCUGUCUCUUAUAU
This 303-nucleotide ribosomal RNA is filed under the name uncultured bacterium. RNAcentral describes it as "partial 16S ribosomal RNA". It matches the Rfam family "Bacterial small subunit ribosomal RNA", at positions 507 to 809 of the family's 1533-position model. The record is from RNAcentral.